RNAcentral lists this ribosomal RNA (425 nucleotides) under uncultured prokaryote. RNAcentral's name for it is "bacterial SSU rRNA". It matches the Rfam family "Bacterial small subunit ribosomal RNA", at positions 355 to 796 of the family's 1533-position model. The record is from RNAcentral.
CAGGGAAUCUUGCGCAAUGGGCGAAAGCCUGACGCAGCAACGCCGCGUGGGGGAUGAAGGCCUUCGGGUUGUAAACCCCUUUCAGGAGGGAAGAAAUUGACGGUACCUCCAGAAGAAGCACCGGCCAACUACGUGCCAGCAGCCGCGGUAAUACGUAGGGUGCAAGCGUUAUCCGGAAUCAUUGGGCGUAAAGAGCUCGUAGGCGGUUCAACAAGUCGGCUGUGAAAGUCCGAGGCUCAACCUCGGAAUUGCAGUCGAUACUGUUGUGACUCGAGUCCGGUAGAGGAGAAUGGAAUUCCCGGUGUAGCGGUGAAAUGCGCAGAUAUCGGGAGGAACACCAGUAGCGAAGGCGGUUCUCUGGGCCGGUACUGACGCUGAGGAGCGAAAGCGUGGGGAGCAAACAGGAUUAGAUACCCCCGUAGUCC